GCCACUCCGCCGGAGUCGCAAGUAAGUUUCUAUACUCAAGAGACCAAGCAAACCAAUUUCAUAUUCUGCCAGCAUAUACUCAGAGACAAAUAGCUACCAUCAGGAUUCCUGAAAUUUAUGAGGACAUAUUGAAUUAUUCAGGAUUUCGGAAAUUUGUAGUCCAAGCAACUCAUAUUUUGAAGUUUUGUUGCUUACAUGUCUCCAUUGGAGAAAAGGGACCGGGCUAAUUGGAACUACAGAUGGCCACCGAUUUAAGAACUCAUCUCCACAGAGGUAAACGUUUGUGUUUGCAUUUCCUCGUAGUUUCCUUUUCAGUUUCUUGUAUCAUGUGAUUUGAGGCAGAUUUAAGAACUCAUCUCCAAGCUGUAGUUUAAGAGGGCCUACAGAUGGCCAUCUAAUUCUGUUCAGGUACAGAUGGCCAUAUCAUUUUGUUCAGGUACAGCUGGGUUGAUGAUUUGAUUUUCUUAUCAUCCAAUGUUACCUCAAAAACCAUUUUUAUUGAGGUAGUGUUUGUGAACAGAUUAAUUGCUCAAACCUUUUUGCUGUCUCUAUUCAAGUUGAUUGUUGUGUGAAAAGUUAGCUGCUUACAUGUCCAGAUUGGUACUGCAAAGAUCAUGUUGCUGGUAUCCCAUGAAUGCCAGUUGUGUGAUUGUUUCUAGCAAUUUUCGGAGCCUUAUGAUCGUUAUGCAUUUUUGCCUGCAGUGCAUACAUAAUAUUUCCUAUGUCCGCCUUUAGAAGGUUUGCUGCCAUACUAUCGAUUGACAGUGCUUUUAUGCGUUCUUCUUGACCGUUGGUGGACUCUAUAUGAAUACUACUCCAAAAAAUCAAUCCUACCGGCCAUCGCCGCACUGAUCGCUAUGGCAUUUUGGGGGCGCUUCCUGUUCGUAUAAUGAGUAAAUAACAUACAUUCCAAUGGGAGGACAAACUUUUGAUGCUGGUGAAUUCUUUACAAUCAUUCCAAUGGCAGCACAAACUGAAGGUAUUUAUGUAGGCACAGAUCAUUGCUACAUCAGAAUAAAUCAAGUAUUGAGUAAAUAAUACCCCCAGUUUUAUAAUACAGUCUACCGGUGCUUUCAUUGUGGUUUCACGGUAAUACCACCAUGCCCUCCUUCUGUUAUGAUUGACGCAAGGAGUGUCAUUACUUGAAAUUUGCAGAAUGGUAAGCACUAUAAUUUAUUGGAGAUCUUGUGCUGUUGGCUGACCCAAACAAGGUACUGUUGAAUUGAGGUGUUGUAACAGUUUUUUUAAACUCUCAUGCAUGAGUACAAGUUGAACUAUUUGUAGUAUAUCUUCAUCGUUUCUUACGAAGUGUAUGGGAGAAAGUGAUAACUGGUCACAGACAUCAUUUGGAAUAAUGUUGGACUCAGGCAUAGUGGUCCCUGAUCUAACACGGAGCAAAGGGAAACCAUUUACGGAUUUGGUUGUGUCGCAGAUAGCCCGGCAUGCUCUCAUGUAAUUCUUGAUCUACGGCGGAUUACCCUUUUCUAUAUUAAUGGAACGCCGCAUAGUUCUCUUGCGCAUUCAGAAAAAAUAGUUUUGCAACCUUUAAAUUUUGAUGAAGCCUUUGAUAAUUCUUUUUAUCUUCUAAUUUUCUUUUGACUGUGCUUAACGUAUGACUUUACCUAUUAUGAUUUUGCACCACAGUUUCCCUUCGCUGUUUAUAUAUGUUGGGACUAUUGAUUUUUUUAAGUGAUCUUCAGUUCCUCACAACAGAUUUCUUUUGGAGAUUUCACUGAUCAGUAUGUUGGAGAUCUGCAGAUGACACUUCUUUAUAUGCAAGUGCAAAAAGAUUUCAGGUUCUGUCCUCUUUUCUUUGUUGGAACUAUCAGGUCGCGUCCUCUUGCAAUGCAGGCAUUGUUAAGGACUUGAGGCUCAGAUUUCACAUUUGGGUUUUUUCUUUUGAGGAAAAAAUACUUAAUAUUGGUAUAUCCUAGACCUUUUCAUUUGAACUUCAUGAUGCCCUGAUAGAUAUAACAGUUAUUUUGUUUCAGUAAGAAGGAAAAAAUUGAAUUUGUUUGUCUGACAUUACAUAAUCUCUAAAUAUUGCGGUCGUAUCUUAUAUCUUAUCUUUUAGUUUCUCUUUGCCACUAGCACAACAUUUUUUGUAGGCUACGAAGCACUAGCAUACUACUUAUAAUCUUCCUAUCUGGUUAUGCAAAAGGUGAAUCUGUACUCAUUAAACUUUGUUAAAUAGUAGGUCCUCCUAACAGUAUGCCUAAAACUAAUUGUUUCUCUGUGUCUAUAGUAUGUUAGUCCAGCACAAUGGAUGUUCUUGACUAACUGCUAGCUUUAUUUGGUCUUAUCUGA
Triticum dicoccoides is the source of this 2307-nucleotide long non-coding RNA. RefSeq lists it as uncharacterized. The record is from RefSeq and is a predicted model, not a curated record. The transcript is spliced from 3 exons. NCBI's taxonomy places the organism in Eukaryota, Viridiplantae, Streptophyta, Magnoliopsida, Poales, Poaceae.